UACGUAGGGGGGCGAGCGUUGUCCGGAUUUAUUGGGCGUAAAAGAGCUCGUAGGCGGCUGUUCGAGUCGGGGUGUGAAAAUCCUGAGGCUUUAACCUUGGGGUCUGCAUUCGAUACUGGGGCGGCUUGAGUCUGGUAGGGGGGGAUCUGGAAUUCCUGGUGUAGCGGUGGAAUGCGUAGAUAUCGGGAGGAACACCGGUGGCGAAGGCGGCCUUCUGGACGGAUACUGACGCUGAGACGCGAAAGCGUGGGGGAGCAAACAGG
This 263-nucleotide ribosomal RNA is filed under the name uncultured bacterium. RNAcentral describes it as "partial 16S ribosomal RNA". It matches the Rfam family "Bacterial small subunit ribosomal RNA", at positions 524 to 776 of the family's 1533-position model. The record is from RNAcentral.